UUAAGUGAAUAAGGGCGCACGGUGGAUGCCUUGGCACUAGGAGCCGAUGAAGGACGGGACUAACACCGAUAUGCUUUGGGGAGCUGUAAGUAAGCUAUGAUCCAGAGAUUUCCGAAUGGGGGAACCCAAUAUCUUUUAUAGGAUAUUACUUUUCAGUGAAUACAUAGCUGAUUAGAGGUAGACGCAGAGAACUGAAACAUCUUAGUACCUGCAGGAAGAGAAAGAAAAUUCGAUUCCCUGAGUAGCGGCGAGCGAAACGGGAAGAGCCCAAACCAACAAGCUUGCUUGUUGGGGUUGUAGGACUCCGAUAUGGUAGUCUGUUAGUAUAGUUGAAGGAUUUGGAAAAUUCCGCUAAAGAGGGUGAAAGCCCCGUAGACGAAAUGCUGACAACACCUAGGAGGAUCCUGAGUACGGCGGAACACGAGAAAUUCCGUCGGAAUCCGCGGGGACCAUCCCGCAAGGCUAAAUACUCCCUAGUGACCGAUAGUGAACCAGUACCGUGAGGGAAAGGUGAAAAGCACCCCGGAAGGGGAGUGAAAUAGAUCCUGAAACCGUGUGCCUACAACAAGUCAAAGCUCGUUAAUGAGUGAUGGCGUGCCUUUUGUAGAAUGAACCGGCGAGUUACGAUUGCAUGCGAGGUUAAGUCGAAGAGACGGAGCCGCAGCGAAAGCGAGUCUGAAUAGGGCGAAUGAGUAUGUAGUCGUAGACCCGAAACCAUGUGAUCUACCCAUGUCCAGGUUGAAGGUGCGGUAAAACGCACUGGAGGACCGAACCCACGUACGUUGAAAAGUGCGGGGAUGAGGUGUGGGUAGCGGAGAAAUUCCAAACGAACUUGGAGAUAGCUGGUUCUCUCCGAAAUAGCUUUAGGGCUAGCCUCGGAAUUGAGAAUGAUGGAGGUAGAGCACUGUUUGGACUAGGGGCCCAUCUCGGGUUACCGAAUUCAGAUAAACUCCGAAUGCCAUUCAUUUAUAUCCGGGAGUCAGACUGCGAGUGAUAAGAUCCGUAGUCGAAAGGGAAACAGCCCAGACCACCAGCUAAGGUCCCAAAAUAUAUGUUAAGUGGAAAAGGAUGUGGGGUUGCACAGACAACUAGGAUGUUGGCUUAGAAGCAGCCACCAUUUAAAGAGUGCGUAAUAGCUCACUAGUCGAGUGACCCUGCGCCGAAAAUGUACCGGGGCUAAACAUAUUACCGAAGCUGUGGACUACACCAUUAGGUGUAGUGGUAGGAGAGCGUUCUAAGGGCGUUGAAGGUCGAUCGUGAGGACGGCUGGAGCGCUUAGAAGUGAGAAUGCCGGUAUGAGUAGCGAAAGACAGGUGAGAAUCCUGUCCACCGUAUGACUAAGGUUUCCUGGUGAAGGCUCGUCCGCCCAGGGUUAGUCGGGACCUAAGCCGAGGCCGAUAGGCGUAGGCGAUGGACAACAGGUUGAUAUUCCUGUACCAGUUGUUUUUGUUUGAGCAAUGGAGGGACGCAGUAGGCUAAGGAAUGCAUGCGAUUGGAAGUGCAUGUCCAAGCAAUGAGUCUUGAGUAGAGUUAAAUGCUUUACUCUCUAAGGACAAGUUGUGACGGGGAGCGAAAUAAUAGUAGCGAAGUUCCUGAUGUCACACUGCCAAGAAAAGCUUCUAGUGAGAAAACAACUGCCCGUACCGUAAACCGACACAGGUAGUCGAGGAGAGUAUCCUAAGGUGAGCGAGCGAACUCUCGUUAAGGAACUCGGCAAAAUGACCCCGUAACUUCGGGAGAAGGGGUGCUGACUUCGGUCAGCCGCAGUGAAUAGGCCCAAGCGACUGUUUAUCAAAAACACAGGUCUCUGCAAAAUCGUAAGAUGAAGUAUAGGGGCUGACGCCUGCCCGGUGCUGGAAGGUUAAGAGGAUGGGUUAGCUUCGGCGAAGCUCAGAAUUGAAGCCCCAGUAAACGGCGGCCGUAACUAUAACGGUCCUAAGGUAGCGAAAUUCCUUGUCGGGUAAGUUCCGACCCGCACGAAAGGCGUAACGAUUUGGGCACUGUCUCAACGAGAGACUCGGUGAAAUUUUAGUACCUGUGAAGAUGCAGGUUACCCGCGACAGGACGGAAAGACCCCAUGGAGCUUUACUGUAGUUUGAUAUUGAGUGUUUGUACCACAUGUACAGGAUAGGUAGGAGCCGAUGAGACCGGAACGCUAGUUUCGGAGGAGGCGCUGGUGGGAUACUACCCUUGUGUUAUGAACCCUCUAACCCGCACCACUAAUCGUGGUGGGAGACAGUGUCAGAUGGGCAGUUUGACUGGGGCGGUCGCCUCCUAAAAGGUAACGGAGGCGCCCAAAGGUUCCCUCAGAAUGGUUGGAAAUCAUUCGAAGAGUGUAAAGGCAGAAGGGAGCUUGACUGCGAGACCUACAAGUCGAGCAGGGACGAAAGUCGGGCUUAGUGAUCCGGUGGUUCCGCAUGGAAGGGCCAUCGCUCAACGGAUAAAAGCUACCCUGGGGAUAACAGGCUUAUCUCCCCCAAGAGUCCACAUCGACGGGGAGGUUUGGCACCUCGAUGUCGGCUCGUCGC
Molecule: ribosomal RNA, 2528 nt
Filed under: Enterococcus faecalis TX0031
Lineage: Bacteria; Bacillati; Bacillota; Bacilli; Lactobacillales; Enterococcaceae
Description: bacterial LSU rRNA
Rfam family: Bacterial large subunit ribosomal RNA
Source: RNAcentral